This is a long non-coding RNA of Gopherus evgoodei (Goodes thornscrub tortoise), 2472 nucleotides long. RefSeq lists it as uncharacterized. The record is from RefSeq and is a predicted model, not a curated record. The transcript has 3 exons. NCBI's taxonomy places the organism in Eukaryota, Metazoa, Chordata, Testudines, Testudinidae.
UGUUUUUGUGGAUACAGACUAACACGGCUACCCCACUUGACAACAUUACAACUGUUUGUUUAAACUACAAAGCUGCAUCUUUGGAUACCUUUACACCAAAAUACAAGUUAUUCUAAUGCCUUGAUAGACACUGAAAGUCAAAUGAUCUAUUUUACACAAAUUUAAAAUGAAAUUCAGUUAAUUUUGAUACUUGCGAGACUUACAAGCUGCAUUGAUUUCUUUAUGCAACUUGUGGGUGCUCAGAUGCAUCAGUUAAACUUUGCAAAAACUCUUUAAAUAAAACCCUUCUUUUUAGAAGACACACUAAACUAUGGGAAAGAAUCAGUGGUAUACAUUGAAGUUAGAGAAUGGCACCAAAAGAUAUCGCCAUAAACAUACCAUAAUAACAAAAUGGAAGAGCAUAGCAUGUUCAGUGACAAACACACAGGAAGAAUUUUAUACCACCUUUCCAGUACCAUUUUGACAGAACCAAAUAGUAAAGAAAAUUUAAAAAAAAAACAAAAAAAAAACCUCUUGCACAUCUGUGUCUUGACCUUUCCUUCUGUAUAACUUGAAAAAUCCUGCUAUACAUUUUCUAUCUUGAAAGUGGGUUUCCCCUCACACACCCAUGUUUAAAUUCAAUUGUGCAAGUGUCCUGCUGGGGUUGGUGGGGGAGCCAUGAAAUGGGAUUCCUAUCAUUAUUUGAUCACUCAUUUAUAGCAGUUGCUUAAAUGUCUGUAUUGAUAUGAAGGUGUUUGACUUUAAAAAAAAAAAAUAGGUUGCCAGAUUUCUAGUAAUUUCAAAACUUUUUGAGCAAAAAUGUUGAAGUGAUUAUGUUCUGGUAGACUUAAUUUCACAUUGAAAAGGUUAAAUUCUUAACUUUUAAUUUUAACAAUUCAUUAAGGUUAGUCUGCAUUUACAAAGGGCUAAAUGUCUUUUCUAGUACUUUAACUUAUUCUAACAGGACUCAGUUUCAUUAGUAUAUAUAUUGAUACCAGAUGACAAUCUUUCAAUGAGCAUACUGUUAAGAAUUUUUUCAAAAUUCUUAAAUUCAAAAGAACUAGGAGAUAGCCACACGAAUGUGAUUUUUGUAUUUAUAGACACCUGGUUAUAUUUUUGCCCCCUCUGCAUUUGGACCUCAUUAUCUAAGCCCAUUUAUUGUAUUUUGAAUAAUAAUAAUAAAAAGGUAAACACUCUUGCUAUAAGGCUAGUAAUAAAACAAAGCAAAGUAUCGCGAGGGAAUCUUAGUUUAGUAUAGAAGUAGUAUUACACUAAGCACCCAAUCCUGGAGUCCUAAUGCAAACAAAACCUUGGUUCAUUUCAACAGGAGUUUUGCUUGGUGAAGUACUACAAGGUUGGGUUCUUACUGUUUUCCUAUAUAUAGGUCAAAUCCUGAAAAUUUCCUAUCUGUAAUCUUUUCUAACUCAUUGACUUACAUAGAACAAUUUGUGUGAGUAAGGCUACUUGAAUUACUACAGCUUGCAAAAUUGGGCUCUCAAUCACUCAAAUGAACUAUUUGUGAGAGUGGCCAAGAGCCUUAUAGAAAGAGUGCACUGGGUGAUGCGUGUUUUCCUAUUUCUCUAAAAAAUGGGAGCUUCUGUUAACUUAAGACUUGUAUGAAGCUGCUUUGUGUGUAAUGAAUUGGCUUGCUUAAUCUGUCUGGACAAAGUCUAGAGUUACAAACUGGUAUAUUUUAAUUUAGCAUCUAAAAUCUAUUGCGUAGAAAAGAGUAUCUCAAUCUUUAAAAUGAAAAUCUUGAUUGUAGUUUUUAUUUUUUUAAAGCAAAACUUUACAUGGGCAAGGUAUAUCUGUCAAAUAACUGAGUAUCGGUCAGGAACCUGUGAAAUUUAACGUAGUUGAGUCCCUCUGGAGAAAUAUUUUAACAUCUUGUUUGGAGGUUACCAGAAGCUCUGAGUGACAAAUCAGAAUAUAUUGCAUCAUAUUUUCUGAUGUUAUCCAGAAACCUGUAAGUGUCCCUUUCCUGUUUUAACUCCUUCCUUUUAUUACCUGACUAUCAGGGAAGCGUGGUUGAGGCUGCCCUGACCUGACAUGUCAUGAUGUCGACUUGCUAGGUGGGGUUCGCAGGGGACAUUAACCAUUGGAAUUGUCGGAUAUUCAUCAGAUGCUACAAAUCUAGAUGUAUGAACAGAGUGUGAAGUGAAUGGGAAGCAGCUGAAACCAGGAUAAGAUCUAAAGAACAAUGCAAGAAGAGCUAGGAACACAUUUUUAGCUGUCUAGAGGUAGUAUGGUCUGGAGCAAUGAACAUUAGUUGGAAUUAAGGACUUGGUCUGCCACUGAUUUGCUCUGUGGCCUUUGACAAGUCACUUCACUUCUGUGCCUCAGUUUCACCAUCUGUAGAUGGGAAUAAUGCAGGGGUCUCAAACAUGCAGCAGUCUGUUGGGCUAUUUCCUGCAGCCUGUCAAGCGGCUCCUUUUUCCCCCCUCCUCCCGACCUACCUCCAGGGCGGGGGGCAAACUACAGCCCCCCUCGAGC